CGGACGGGUGAGUAAUGUCUGGGAAACUGCCUGAUGGAGGGGGAUAACUACUGGAAACGGUAGCUAAUACCGCAUAACGUCGCAAGACCAAAGAGGGGGACCUUAGGGCCUCUUGCCAUCGGAUGUGCCCAGAUGGGAUUAGCUAGUAGGUGGGGUAAAGGUUCACCUAGGCGACGAUCCCUAGCUGGUCUGAGAGGAUGACCAGCCACACUGGAACUGAGACACGGUCCAG
Molecule: ribosomal RNA, 232 nt
Filed under: uncultured bacterium
Lineage: Bacteria
Description: partial 16S ribosomal RNA
Rfam family: Bacterial small subunit ribosomal RNA
Source: RNAcentral